This 3500-nucleotide long non-coding RNA is filed under the name Sus scrofa (pig). RNAcentral's name for it is "lncRNA (ENSSSCG00035020016.1)". Lineage: Eukaryota; Metazoa; Chordata; Mammalia; Artiodactyla; Suidae. The record is from RNAcentral.
AUCACAGCUGGUUUCUGCUUGUAGGUAAAACCACACUCUAAGGGUCACUGCUGACUACCAGCACAUUUUGCUGCAUUCUCUUGAUGACCUCAUGGGAAAGACAGUGAGUUAGUUUAAGAGAGGGCAUCUGUGUACCUGCUUCACCCUCUCCCUGUAUGGGUGAAACACUAAGCCUGAGAAGACCUAUGCUUCGGCAGAAUAAUUUGUGAAAAUACCUGUUUAUUGAAGCAUACUGCCUAGACUUAAUUUUAUUUGAAGUUUUGAAAAAUAAAGGAACAAGAAAGAAUGUAUGUAAAAAGUUGUUAAAUGUUAAUUGACUAAAGCCUAGUUUAAAACUUAGGAAGCAACCUUUCUCUGUUUAAACUGUGUGAGAAUCAGGUUUAAGUGAUUGGAGCUGGUUCUUGCAGUUGAAACUGGUUUUGGAAGCAGAUCAGUGCUUGUGAGAUCCUGGUUCACCACUGGAUCCCCAUGGAGACUGAAUGAAUGGCCGUGGGUCACCAAAGUUUUUCCUCAGAUUAUCACAGAAUACUGAGUACAGUUCCUUGUGCUAUAUACCAGGUGUCCAUUGGCCAAUCACUCCAUAUACCUCAAUGUGCAUAUGUCAGUCUCAGACCUCCAGUCCAUCCCUCCCUGCCACCUGCUCCCUUUGGUAAUGUGCUUGGCCAAAUCUGAAAUGGGCAUUGGAAGAAUAUGCUGAUACUCGGAUCUUUGUAUAUUAACGGAUCACUGUCUGUGUGUGGGUAUCUGGGUGACCAAGAGUCAUCGUAAGUCUCAAAUCAUCACAAACUCCUGUAUCUUUUAUCAGUACAGCUCUCUCAGAAAUUUAAUAGGAUUUUCAUCUGUUCGAUUCUAGCAAUCAGUUUUCCAGUAGCCACACUCUUCAUUCUUAAAAAGUUUCCCCAAACUCUAUGUGGACAAAACUGAUAAACUGUAUUUUUUUUUUUUUUUGACUUUUUGACUAACGGAAGGCACUUUAAGUCUAUCAGCUUUGGUACAGUAAAUCUACAUCUUACCUUCUUUAUACUGAGUCAUUUCUUCCAGUUGAAAAGUUACUAUGUCAGGAUUCCCACUUCUGGCCAUGAUGGAGAAACAUGGACCCAAUUUAAUAUCCUGCGUUAUACAACUAAAAAGCUGGUAAAACAUGUAAUUGUUUUCACACAUUGGGUAUAAGACAGUAUAGGAUUGUGAUCACUGAGAAAUAGGAAACAAAUGCAUAGGGUUCUAGGAUGCCCUAGUUUUCUAUCUGGAGGCACAUUUGGACCAGUGGGUUAGGGUUAGGGUUAGGGUUAGGGUUAGGGUUAGGGUUAGGGUUAGGGUUAGGGAAGAGGAUGCCAAACAGAGCUGUGGUUGCCUCAGUGAACUGAGAAGGCAAGAGGAUGCCAAACAGAGCUGUGGUUGCCUCAGUGAACUGAGAAGGCAAAGGUAAAAGUUUGGAGUGUCUGAGGUAGCUAGAAUUUGUGGAAAAGAGUUACAGAGAAGAGAAAGUAUCACAGAAAAGACCUCCAGAAAUCUUUGAGUUCCCUCGACUUUAGCUGAAUAACAAACUUUUGGUACAUAGAAUGAAAUUCUAUCAGUUUAGGCCAAAGAACAUCUGGGUAGCCAUGAGCUGAACAGUACCCAGAACUAACCCGUGGCCACAGUAAACUUCUUAGUAAUCACUCAGUGGAGACUAAGAAGGACCAUAGCUUAGUCAUCGGGCUAAGCUAGACCUAAGAGUAAAGGCUAAUCUGGACCCUCGCAAAACGAAAACAAAGGGUGAAAGGAUCAGACCUAAGAGCAAGUAACUUAAUUUAGGAUAGGACAAAGCCCAGACUCCUUAAAGGAAGACAACAAAAUCAAGAUUCUCAACAAUAUAAAUAUAUAUUUUAUCCUGAUACCCAGGAUAAAAUAUAAUGACUACAUAAAAAAAUUAGGAAAAUGAGACCUAUAAUUAGAGCAAAAAUCAGUCAAUAGAAACAGGCCCAGCAGCCAAUAAAUAUCAGUAGAGAAAAUGCUGUCUUUUAAACAAACCGUGCUGGGUCUGUAAAAACAUAAGGAAAAAAAUGAAUGUUGACUUUUACUUCAUGUUGUACACAAAAAUUAACUUGAAAUGUAUAAGUCAAUGAAACAUAAAUGCUAAAGCUAGAAGAACAAGUAGAUAAAAUACCCUUAUGACUUUGGGUAAGCAAAGUUUUUUGUUAGUAUCGAAAGCAUAAAAGUCACUGAUAUGUUGGAGUUUAUCAUUAUUAAAACAGCCACUCUUGGAGUGCUCGUUGUAGCCCAGCAAUAAUGAACCCAACUAGUAUCCAUGUGGAUGAAGGUUCAAUCCCUGGCCUUACUCAGUGGGUUAAAGAUCCAGUGUUGCAGACAUUCUUUAUAUUCUCAACAAUAUAAACUUCAUGAUAUCCAGGAUGUACUGUGGCUCAUAUAUCGUGGUGCUGUGGCUGUGGGGUAGGCCCGCAGCUGCAGUCCAAUUAGACCCCUAGCCUGGGAAUUUCCAUAUGCCUUGGGUGUGGCCAUAGGAAAAAAAAAGGUGAAAACAGCCACUCUUUGAAAGACAUCAUUAAGAAACUGAAAAUAGAAACUACAGAUUAAAUAAAAAUAUCCAAACAGUACAUAAAAUAGCUUUAAGAGUGAUUUAUAUAUUCUGUAUGGGUAUACAACUCUUAACAAUAUAUGAGAGGACAAAUUGUGCAAUAUAGUAGGAACCGAAGAGUUGAUAGACACAUCACAAAAGAGUGUUUUCAGGUAGUUCCUCCAGUAACUUAGCAGGUUAUGAAUCUGACUAGUAUCCACAAAGAUGUGGGUUCAAUCCCUGGCCUUGCUCGGUGGGCUAAGGAUCUGGCAUUGCAGACAUCCUUCAUGUUCUCAACAGUAUAAAGCUCAUGAUAUCCAGGAUAUAAUGUGGCUCAGAUGCGGUGUUGCUACGGCUAUGAUAUAGGCCUGCGGCUGCAGCUCCAAUCAGACCCCUUGCCUGGGAACUUCUGUAUGCUGAUCCAUGGCCAUAAAAUGCAAAAAAAUUUUUAAAAGUUAAAAAAAAAGUAUAUACAAAUGGUUGCUAAGCACAUGAAACAAUGCUCAAUAACGUUAGUCAACAGAGAAAUGUGAAUUCAACUCACAAUGAGAUAAAACUACACAUUAACUUGAAUCUCUAAAAUUAAGACUGACAACCCCAAAUUCUGAUGAGGAUGUAAAGCAAUUGAAAUUAUUAUGUAUUGCUGGUGGGAAGGUAAAAUGGAACAACCACCUUAAAAAACUGAUUGGGGAGCUCCUGCCAUGGCUCAGUGGUUAACGAAUCCGACUAGGAACCAUGAAGUUGAGGGUUCAAUUCCUGGCCUCGCUCAGUGGGUUAAGGAUCCCAUGUUGCCGUGAGCUGUGGUGUAGGUCGCAGAUGCGGCUCGGAUACCGUGUUCCUGUGGCUGUGGCAUAGGCCAGCGGCAGAUUAGACUCCUAGCCUGGGAACCUCCGUAUGCCGCAGGUGUGGCCCUAGAAAAGAUAAAAAAAAAAAAAAGAAAAAAAAA